This 2151-nucleotide ribosomal RNA is filed under the name Triticum aestivum (bread wheat). Its description in RNAcentral is "partial small subunit ribosomal RNA". The record is from RNAcentral. Lineage: Eukaryota; Viridiplantae; Streptophyta; Magnoliopsida; Poales; Poaceae.
AUGGUCAAGAUCGAAGAUUGUGAUGGGGAUGGCGCCGCCGACCCGCCGCAGCCCAAUCCGGCUCCGGCACCCACUGCCGUAAAGGCGGAGGAGGCGAUUGAUGAUGGUCAGCCAGGCACUUCAUCCAGCUAUCUAAGGUCACACUUUAUCGGUAUGGGAUUUUCACCAUUACUGGUUGACAAAAUGCUUCAGAAACAUGGUGAUCAUGAUUCUAAUACUAUAUUGGAGUCACUUUUGUCUCAUCAUAAUUCUGGGUCCGAAUCGUCAAGUUCGUUAGGCAGUCUCUUUGAUUCUGACAAUGAAGAAAACAGUUCUAAACAAGACAUCAAGCCGGAGCCAGAUUCUUUCUUAGAAAGGAGGUCAUAUUUACUCCGCACAAUGAACUUCUCACAGACGGAAGUCGAUUUAGCAUUCGACCAAUUAGGUGAGGAUGCACUACUUGAUCAGCUUGUAGAUUUCAUUGUCACUGCUCAAGGAGGAGUAUUAUCGGGAGAUAUGGAAAAUGGCCAUGCUACAAAUGAGGUAAAAGCUGAAUCAUUGUUUGGGGUAAUGGAUAAAACGCUUCAUUUGCUUCAGAUGGGUUUUACUGAGGAAGAAGUGUCAUUGGCUAUUGAUAGCUUCGAUUCAGCUGGUGAGUAUAUCUCCCAUGCGUUGCGAGGAUUUCUUGUUGAGCAGGGUACUCUUACUCAGUUCUCUGGCCCUAAUGCUCAUGCUCAGAAUGGUGUGGCUGAGCGCAAGCAUCGUCAUCUUCUUGAGACGGCGCGUGCAAUGAUGGUCGCCGCCUAUCUUCCGCCUCACUUCUCCUCAAACUCAUGGUGGAUCAACAAGAGUCAGGAAGCAGCAGUUCAGGAGCUUGCUGACUCAAUUUUUGCAAGACGCAUUGCCAGUACCAUUGAGCAGAAACAGGUGAAAAUUGAGUCUGAAUUUCUAGGGGAGCAUGGGGAGCAAGAAACUGAAUAUUCAACAUAUCAUCAGAGGUUGAACUAUUAUGACGAUGACGAUGACAACAAAAGAGUUAAAAAGGCCAAGCAUAUAUUCAGAGACGAUAGAGGAGCCUCAAGUAGUCAUGCUGUGAAUCAACCUACUCCGUGGUUAAGUGGCGGUGUUGGGUCAGCUGGUGAUGGUUAUUUGAAGGAAGAAGAUUAUGAAAUGACAUCGGGCCCUCGUGCAAAUGUCCGUGGUGACCUUGCCAAGCCUCCCUUCUUCCUCUAUGGAAAUGUUGUUAACAUCACCAAAGAUGCGUGGUCUGAAAUAUCGGGUUUCUUGUCGGGUGUGCAGCCCGAGUUUAUAAAUAGUCAGCUUUUCUCAGCUUUGAUGCGAAGGGAAGGUUACCUUCAUAACCUUCCAACAGAGAGAAGGCAUGUUGUGGUUCCGAAGUCACCAAUGACAAUUGAGGAUGCAGUGCCUUCCGCAAGACAUUACUGGCCCACAUGGGAUACCAGAAAACAUAUUGGUAGUGUUACUUCAGAGGUGGCAGGAAUUGAACAACUUUGUGAGAUGUUGGGAAAGACCAUAAAAGAUUCACGAGGAUUUCUUUCAGAAGAAAAACGAGCGCAGAUCUUGCACCAAUGCAAGAUGGCAAAUCUUAUCUGGAUUGGUCAAGACCGGCUAGGCCCUCUGCAGCCAAAUCAAAUGGAGCGGAUAUUAGGUUACCCAUCAAACCAUACAAAUCUGUUUGGUCUAAACCCACCGGACAGGAUUGGUGCUAUGAAAUACGCUUUUCAAACGGACACCAUUGCUUAUCUUUUGUCAGUUCUAAAAGACAUCUAUCCAGAUGGUUUGAGGGUACUAUCCAUCUAUAGUGGAGUUGGGGGUGCAGAAAUUGCGCUGCAUCGUCUCGGUAUUCCACUAAAGUGUGUAGUGUCUGUUGAAGAGUCUGAUGUGAACAGGAAAAUUCUGAAAAGAUGGUGGGCAAAAACAGAGCAGAGCGGAGUUCUGAGACAACUAAAUGGCAUAUGGAAGCUAAAGACCGAUGCACUUGAGGACCUAUUUAAGGAAUUUGGUGGCUUUGACUUAGUUGUUGGCGGAAAUUACAGUUCAUAUAGAGGUGGGACGACAGUAAAUGCAACUAUGGGGAUGGACUCCGGUAAAUACUUUGAGUACGUUCGUGUUCUUCAAAGAGUGAGAAGUAUGCAGCACUUCUUUAAGUAG